RNAcentral lists this ribosomal RNA (223 nucleotides) under uncultured bacterium. RNAcentral describes it as "partial 16S ribosomal RNA". It matches the Rfam family "Bacterial small subunit ribosomal RNA", at positions 96 to 334 of the family's 1533-position model. The record is from RNAcentral.
CGGCGGACGGCUGAGUAACGCGUGGGAACAUGCCCCAAAGUGAGGAAUAACUGCCCGAAAGGGUAGCUAAUGCCGCAUAUGAUCUUCGGAUUAAAGGAUUUAUCCGCUUUGGGAGUGGCCCGCGUACGAUUAGGUAGUUGGUGAGGUAAAGGCUCACCAAGCCGACGAUCGUUAACUGGUCUGAGAGGAUGAUCAGUCAGACUGGAACUGAGACACGGUCCAG